GUUGUAGUCGCUACGAGCGCACCCUUAUCCCUAGUUGCCAGCACACCAUGGUGGGAACUCUAGGUUUUACUGCCGGUGACAAACCGGAGGAAGGUGGGGAUGACCUCUGGUCAUCAUGGCCCUUACGGCCAGGGCUACACACGUGCUACAAUGGCGCGCACAGAGGGCUGCAAACCCGCGAGGGGGAGCUAAUCUCACAAAACGCGUCGUAGUCCGGAUCGCAGUCUGCAACUCGACUGCGUGAAGUCGGAAUCGCUAGUAAUCGCGAAUCAGAAUGUCGCGGUGAAUACGUUCCCGGGCCUUGUACACACCGCCCGUCACACCAUGGGAGUGGAUUGCACCACAAGUGGUUAGUCUAACCUUCGGGAGGACGAUCACCACGGUGUGGUUCAUGACUGGGGUGAAGUCGUAACAAGGUAGCCGUAGGGGAACCUGCGGCUGGAUCACCUCCUU
Molecule: ribosomal RNA, 453 nt
Filed under: uncultured Marinobacter sp.
Lineage: Bacteria; Pseudomonadati; Pseudomonadota; Gammaproteobacteria; Pseudomonadales; Marinobacteraceae
Description: bacterial SSU rRNA
Rfam family: Bacterial small subunit ribosomal RNA
Source: RNAcentral